RNAcentral lists this ribosomal RNA (492 nucleotides) under uncultured bacterium. RNAcentral's name for it is "partial 16S ribosomal RNA". It matches the Rfam family "Bacterial small subunit ribosomal RNA", at positions 29 to 507 of the family's 1533-position model. The record is from RNAcentral.
AGUGAACGCUGGCGGUAGGCCUAACACACGCAAGUCGAACGGCAGCACAGUAAGAGCUUGCUCUUACGGGUGGCGAGUGGCGGACGGGUGAGGAAUACAUCGGAAUCUACUUUUUCGUGGGGGAUAACGUAGGGAAACUUACGCUAAUACCGCAUACGACCUACGGGUGAAAGCAGGGGAUCUUCGGACCUUGCGCGAUUGAAUGAGCCGAUGUCGGAUUAGCUAGUUGGCGGGGUAAAGGCCCACCAAGGCGACGAUCCGUAGCUGGUCUGAGAGGAUGAUCAGCCACACUGGAACUGAGACACGGUCCAGACUCCUACGGGAGGCAGCAGUGGGGAAUAUUGGACAAUGGGCGCAAGCCUGAUCCAGCCAUACCGCGUGAGUGAAGAAGGCCUUCGGGUUGUAAAGCCCUGUUGUUGGGAAAGAAAAGCAGCAGGUUAAUACCCCGCUGUUCUGACGGUACCCAAAGAAUAAGCACCGGCUAACUUCGUG